This 440-nucleotide ribosomal RNA is filed under the name uncultured bacterium. RNAcentral describes it as "partial 16S ribosomal RNA". It matches the Rfam family "Bacterial small subunit ribosomal RNA", at positions 338 to 795 of the family's 1533-position model. The record is from RNAcentral.
CCUACGUGUGUCAGCAGUGGGGAAUAUUGCACAAUGGGGGAAACCCUGAUGCAGCGACGCCGCUUGAGUGAAGAAGUAUCUCGGUACGUAAAGCUCUAUCAGCAGGGAAGAAAAUGACGGUACCUGACUAAGAAGCCCCGGCUAACUACGUGCCAGCAGCCGCGGUAAUACGUAGGGGGCAAGCGUUCUCCGGAUUUACUGGGUGUAAAGGGAGCGUAGACGGCAGCACAAGUCUGGAGUGAAAUCCCGGGGCUUAACCCCGGAACUGCUUUGGAAACUGUGCGGCUGGAGUGCAGGAGGGGUAAGCGGAAUUCGUAGUGUAGCGGGGAAAUGCGUAGAUAUUAGGAGGAACACCGAUGGCGAAGGCGGCUUACUGGACUGUAACUGACGUUGAGGCUCGAAAGCGUGGGGAGCAAACAGGAGUAGAUACCCUAGUAGUC